RNAcentral lists this ribosomal RNA (460 nucleotides) under uncultured bacterium. RNAcentral describes it as "partial 16S ribosomal RNA". It matches the Rfam family "Bacterial small subunit ribosomal RNA", at positions 338 to 795 of the family's 1533-position model. The record is from RNAcentral.
CCUACGGGUGGCAGCAGUGAGGAAUAUUGGUCAAUGGACGAGAGUCUGAACCAGCCAAGCAGCGUGAAGGAUGACUGCCCUAUGGGUUGUAAACUUCUUUUAUAUGGGAAUAAAAUGUUCUACGUGUGUGAUUUUGUAUGUACCAUAUGAAUAAGGAUCGGCUAACUCCGUGCCAGCAGCCGCGGUAAUACGGAGGAUCCGAGCGUUAUCCGGAUUUAUUGGGUUUAAAGGGAGCGUAGGUGGAUUGUUAAGUCAGUUGUGAAAGUCUGCGGCUCAACCGUAAAAUUGCAGUUGAAACUGGCAGUCUUGAGUACAGUAGAGGUGGGCGGAAUUCGUGGUGUAGCGGUGAAAUGCUUAGAUAUCACGAAGAACUCCGAUUGCGAAGGCAGCUCACUGGACUGCAACUGACGCUGAGGCUCGAAAGUGUGGGUAGCAAACAGGAUUAGAUACUCCUGUAGUC